UAGGGAAUCUUCCGCAAUGGGCGAAAGCCUGACGGAGCAACGCCGCGUGAGUGAUGAAGGUCUUCGGAUCGUAAAACUCUGUUAUUAGGGAAGAACAAAUGUGUAAGUAACUAUGCACGUCUUGACGGUACCUAAUCAGAAAGCCACGGCUAACUACGUGCCAGCAGCCGCGGUAAUACGUAGGUGGCAAGCGUUAUCCGGAAUUAUUGGGCGUAAAGCGCGCGUAGGCGGUUUUUUAAGUCUGAUGUGAAAGCCCACGGCUCAACCGUGGAGGGUCAUUGGAAACUGGAAAACUUGAGUGCAGAAGAGGAAAGUGGAAUUCCAUGUGUAGCGGUGAAAUGCGCAGAGAUAUGGAGGAACAACAGUGGCGAAGGCGACUUUCUGGUCUGUAACUGACGCUGAUGUGCGAAAGCGUGGGGAUCAAACAGG
Molecule: ribosomal RNA, 429 nt
Filed under: Actinomycetes bacterium
Lineage: Bacteria; Bacillati; Actinomycetota; Actinomycetes
Also listed under: 1 other name
Description: Actinobacteria bacterium partial 16S ribosomal RNA
Rfam family: Bacterial small subunit ribosomal RNA
Source: RNAcentral